Molecule: ribosomal RNA, 273 nt
Filed under: uncultured bacterium
Lineage: Bacteria
Description: partial 16S ribosomal RNA
Rfam family: Bacterial small subunit ribosomal RNA
Source: RNAcentral
UACGGAGGGUGCAAGCGUUGCUCGGAAUUAUUGGGCGUAAAGCGCACGCAGGCGGCAAGGUAAGUCAGUUGUGAAAUUCCCGAGCUUAACUUGGGAGCUGCAGCUGAUACUGUCAUGCUUGAGUACGGAAGAGGGGAGCGGAAUUCCCAGUGUAGAGGUGAAAUUCGUAGAUAUUGGGAGGAACACCGGUGGCGAAGGCGGCUCCCUGGUCCGAUACUGACGCUCAUGUGCGAAAGCGUGGGGAGCAAACAGGAUUAGAUACCCCCGUAGUCC